AUUGAACGCUGGCGGCAGGCUUAACACAUGCAAGUCGAGCGAGCCGCGGACUGGUGUGUAAUGUCUGGGAAACUGCCUGUUGGAGGGGGAUAACUACUGGAACCGUUAGCUCAUACCGCCUACCAUCAUAUGUUCCCAGAUCGGAUUAGCUAGUAGGUGGGGUAAUGGCUCACCUAGGCGACGAUGCCUAGCUGGUCUGAGAGGAUGACCAGCCACACGGGAACUGAGACACGGUCCAGACUCCUACGGGAGGCAGCAGUGGGGAAUAUUGCACAAUGGGCGCAAGCCUGAUGCAGCCAUGCCGCGUGUGUGAAGAAGGCCUUCGUGUUGUAAAGCACUUUCAGCGAGGAGGCGUUACUCGCAGAAGAAGCACCGGCUAACUCCGUGCCAGCCGCCGCGGUAAUUC
This 406-nucleotide ribosomal RNA is filed under the name uncultured bacterium. RNAcentral describes it as "partial 16S ribosomal RNA". It matches the Rfam family "Bacterial small subunit ribosomal RNA", at positions 30 to 526 of the family's 1533-position model. The record is from RNAcentral.